This 183-nucleotide non-coding RNA is filed under the name Bacillota bacterium. Its description in RNAcentral is "Firmicutes bacterium (anaerobic digester metagenome) 6S RNA". It matches the Rfam family "6S / SsrS RNA". Rfam says of the family: E. coli 6S RNA was the first non coding RNA to be sequenced, but its function was unknown until recently. Lineage: Bacteria; Bacillati; Bacillota. RNAcentral also lists the same sequence under 1 other name. The record is from RNAcentral.
GAUCCCCUGCUGUGCUCGCGAUCAAUCUGGCCUUGUUAUGAGCCAACACCAUAACACAGGGAACUUUAACUCGCAUUAGCUAGAACGGGCCCCCUCCGAGGGGAGGUUCGAACUAUUGCGGUGGGUACCCACCUGCCAACGCAGGUUCAUUCGGGUCAGCACUAGCGGUAUGGUGGGGGGUUG